This is a long non-coding RNA of Oncorhynchus tshawytscha (Chinook salmon), 979 nucleotides long. RefSeq lists it as uncharacterized. Lineage: Eukaryota; Metazoa; Chordata; Actinopteri; Salmoniformes; Salmonidae. The record is from RefSeq and is a predicted model, not a curated record. The transcript is spliced from 3 exons.
CGAGGGUGUGUCUUAUGAGUUUGAACCGCUACCAAUGUGUAAGAUGUGCAAGUGUGACAGAGUAGUUACAAAGCUUAUAAAGAAGGAUGUUGAAGGAUUGUAAGACGCAAUGUCGACAGACAAACAGCCUACACCAGAUCAUACGACCCUCACCAGCGCAAGCAAGGCCAACAACCAGAGGAAUGGAGGGAUGAAAGAAGAAAGUCACCAGCAGUCUCCUACUCGUUCCCAUGGGAACCCCUGCAGAACCUCUACUCAAGGAUCUCCUGGAUCCAGCCCGCUGGAAAAUGCUGAUCCAACAGUUCAGAUACGACAACUACAGAUUACAUCAGCUGGGCAACAACUCUGUGUUUACCAUCACACUCCAGGCCGGCUUGUCUGCUAUCAAAACUCCGUAUCCUUUCUGGUCACCGCUCUGUGCUCCUUAGUUUUGCUAUUUCUGGUAGGAACAUCAUUUUUUAUUUAAUCCAAUCCUCGACUUCGGUCAUUUGCUUUAUCUUGGCCAGGUCGCAGUUGUAAAUGAGAACUCGUUCUCAACUUGCCUACCUGGUUAAAUAAAGGUGAAAUAAAAAAAUAAAAACUAUAGACACAAUCACUCUGCAGAUUCUCAAAACACAAUACAAAGACACGUCUACAAAAUUCCCCUGCUACAAAGUCAAUGGGUUAGGAGAGGUUUACAGAUAUGUUUUUGAAAUGAGAAAGCGGUUUUGGUUGUGGUUAGAGAGAGUAAAUGUAUUGUUGUGGAUGAUAAUGAUUGAGAAAUGGCACCUUUCAAUCUCCCAUACACAACAGUAGAUACUGUAAGAACUGCCCUCCUAAGACUUCACACCUUGUGCAGCCAUCCCACCCCAGCCCAUUCCCUUUGAUUUCUCCUCUCCUCUGGUCCUGAGUGGUAAUAAGAGCGAGAUAAGAACAUAGUUUAGGAGACAAAGCUGAACGAUAAUUUAUAGCCAAUGCUGUCUGGCUAUGGAAUACUCCU